This is a long non-coding RNA of Oryctolagus cuniculus (rabbit), 419 nucleotides long. RefSeq lists it as uncharacterized. The record is from RefSeq and is a predicted model, not a curated record. NCBI's taxonomy places the organism in Eukaryota, Metazoa, Chordata, Mammalia, Lagomorpha, Leporidae.
AGGCAGAGUGGACAAUGAGAGAGAGAGAGAAAGGUCUUCCUUUGCUGUUGGUUCACCCUCCAAUGGCCACGGCGGCCAGCACGCUGCAGCCGGCGCACCGCGCGGACCCGAAGGCAGGAGCCAGAACUCCCUCAGUUACUGCAGAGAAGGAUGGCCAUCACCCCACAAGGGACUCUCACCAAGUAAUCCUGGUCAUCAAUGCCAAACCGAUCACGGAGGUUCCUGAAGACCUGGGGACAAUACUCCUUGAACUUGAAAUGACUGGGCAGAUUUUCCCUGAAAUGUAGGUUUUCAAGGAUUCUCUUCCUAGAAGGUUGACGUGAGAAUGGCAGGAAUUGCUACUUACCUAUGGAAAAGGUGGUUGUUGACCUUGAUCUUGGAGCUGGCCUUGAAGUCAUCUGGCAGCAACAUCACUGGAG